AUACGUAGGGGGCGAGCGUUGUCCGGAAUGAUUGGGCGUAAAGGGCGCGUAGGCGGCGCGGUAAGUCUGGAGUGAAAGUCCUGCUUUCAAGGUGGGAAUUGCUUUGGAUACUGCCGCGCUUGAGUGCAGGAGAGGUUAUCGGAAUUCCCGGUGUAGCGGUGAAAUGCGUAGAGAUCGGGAGGAACACCAGUGGCGAAGGCGGGUAACUGGACUGCAACUGACGCUGAGGCGCGAAAGUGUGGGGAGCAAACAGGAUUAGAUACCCUGGUAGUCCACACUGUAAACGAUGAAUGCUAGGUGUAAGAGGUAUCGACCCCUGCUGUGCCGCAGUAAACACAAUAAGCAUUCCGCCUGGGGAGUACGGCCGCAAGGUUGAAACUCAAAUGAAUUGACGGGG
RNAcentral lists this ribosomal RNA (397 nucleotides) under uncultured bacterium. RNAcentral describes it as "partial 16S ribosomal RNA". It matches the Rfam family "Bacterial small subunit ribosomal RNA", at positions 523 to 918 of the family's 1533-position model. The record is from RNAcentral.